CUAACAAGGAUUCCCUUAGUAACUGCGAGUGAAGAGGGAAAAGCUCAAAUUUAAAAUCUGGCAGCAUUUUGUUGUCCGAGUUGUAACCUAGAGAAGUGUAACCUGUGCUGGACCGUGUAUAAGUUUCCUGGAAUGGAGCAUCACAGAGGGUGAGAAUCCCGUCUUUGACAUGGACUACCAGUGCAUUGUGGUUGUGCUCUCAACGAGUCGAGUUGUUUGGGAAUGCAGCUCUAAAUGGGUGGUAAAUUCCAUCUAAAGCUAAAUAUUGGCGAGAGACCGAUAGCGAACAAGUACCGUGAGGGAAAGAUGAAAAGAACUUUGGAAAGAGAGUUAAACAGUAUGUGAAAUUGUUGAAAGGGAAACGUUUGAAGUCAGUCGCGUUAGCUGGGGAUCAGCCUGACAUUGUUGGGUGCACUUCCUGGUUGACGGGCCAACAUCAGUUUUGACUGCCAGAAAAAGGCCAAGGGAAUGUGGCACCUUUGGGUGUGUUAUAGCCUUUGGUCAUAUAUGGUGGUUGGGACUGAGGAAUGCAGUGUGCCGAAAGGCCGGGUUUCGACCACGUUCACACUGAGGAUGUUGGCAUAAUGGCUUUAAGCGACCCGUCUUGAAACACGGACCAAGGAGUCUAACAUGCAUGCGAGUGUUUGGGUGGAAAACCCUUACGCGUAAUGAAAGUGAAAGUUGAGAUCCCUGUCAUGGGGAGCAUCGACGCCCGGACCAGAACUUUUGGGACGGAUCUGCGGUAGAGCACGUAUGUUGGGACCCGAAAGAUGGUGAACUAUGCCUGAAUAGGGUGAAGCCAGAGGAAACUCUGGUGGAGGCUCGUAGCGAUUCUGACGUGCAAAUCGAUCGUCAAAUUUGGGUAUAGGGGCGAAAGACUAAUCG
This 885-nucleotide ribosomal RNA is filed under the name Amanita fritillaria. RNAcentral describes it as "eukaryotic LSU rRNA". It matches the Rfam family "Eukaryotic large subunit ribosomal RNA", at positions 65 to 937 of the family's 3401-position model. The record is from RNAcentral. Lineage: Eukaryota; Fungi; Basidiomycota; Agaricomycetes; Agaricales; Amanitaceae.